This 508-nucleotide long non-coding RNA is filed under the name Oryza brachyantha (malo sina). RNAcentral describes it as "long non-coding RNA (OBRA_LNC003436)". The record is from RNAcentral. Lineage: Eukaryota; Viridiplantae; Streptophyta; Magnoliopsida; Poales; Poaceae.
CCCGUCGUGCCGCCGCCGGCCGUCGCGGCCGCGCUGCAGCACCAGUGCAGCAAGGCGGCCGACGUGCCCCAGCUGUUCGACCUCUUCUGACACGUACCUGCUCGGCGCGUCUCCAAAGUCCAAAGCAAGGAAUUUUUUUUUGUUGCUGUUAAUUAAUUAAUCGAGGCACGAAUUGACCAGAGCUAGCUGGCUAGAAUCCGGUUGACUAAUUACUCUCCAUAUUAGAACUGCUGUACAACACUGUCAAUUAGUUAAUUAUUAACUAAUUAGUGAAAUAACAGCUCUCAAUGUCGGCAUGAUACCACCUGAUGAGUCAUCCUGAUCUGUUAACUUACAGUAUCGAGGAAUGCGUAAUUAGCUGUCACUAAACGCGUCUUACCGGCCAUGAAACUCAUCCAGCUUUGUGUGCCCUUGCAUUCUUUAUCUGCAGUAGAAGAGUAUUUUAACUUUGCAAUACGUUUAGAAAUAUUUAGAUAGUCAUCAUACGUAAUAAUACUACUGCUCCUCC